UCUCUGUUAGUAUAUCGGUUAGUACACGCGCCUGUCAUCAUUGACCGCGCGAAAGCGGGGUUCGACUCCCCGACAGAGAG
This 80-nucleotide transfer RNA is filed under the name Daedalea quercina L-15889. RNAcentral describes it as "tRNA-Asp". Lineage: Eukaryota; Fungi; Basidiomycota; Agaricomycetes; Polyporales; Fomitopsidaceae. The record is from RNAcentral.